Molecule: ribosomal RNA, 497 nt
Filed under: uncultured bacterium
Lineage: Bacteria
Description: partial 16S ribosomal RNA
Rfam family: Bacterial small subunit ribosomal RNA
Source: RNAcentral
GAUGAACGCUGGCGGCGUGCCUAAUACAUGCAAGUCGAGCGAACAGACGAGGAGCUUGCUCCUUUGACGUUAGCGGCGGACGGGUGAGUAACACGUGGGUAACCUACCUAUAAGACUGGGAUAACUUCGGGAAACCGGAGCUAAUACCGGAUAAAAUUUCGAACCGCAUGGUUCGAUAGUGAAAGAUGGCUUUGCUAUCACUUAUAGAUGGACCUGCGCCGUAUUAGCUAGUUGGUAAGGUAACGGCUUACCAAGGCAACGAUACGUAGCCGACCUGAGAGGGUGAUCGGCCACACUGGAACUGAGACACGGUCCAGACUCCUACGGGAGGCAGCAGUAGGGAAUCUUCCGCAAUGGGCGAAAGCCUGACGGAGCAACGCCGCGUGAGUGAUGAAGGUCUUCGGAUCGUAAAACUCUGUUAUUAGGGAAGAACAAACGUGUAAGUAACUGUGCACGUCUUGACGGUACCUAAUCAGAAAGCCACGGCUAACUACGUG